CACACUGGCCAAGCGCGGAGUUCUGCUUACUUCAGUCCUGCUGAGAUACUCUCUCAGUCCGCUCGCACCGAAGGAAGCUGCCUUGGGAUCAGAGCAGACAUAAAGCUAGAAAAAUUUCAAGGUGGAAGAAAGAAAUGGGAAGAAAAAGGAAGAGAACCAUAGCUACGUUGUGAGGGCAUUGCUUCAACUCUGGUAACUUCAUGUGAAAUGACUACAAAAUGAAUUAAUAUGCAGUAAGAGAGCCAGUGCCCCACCAGGGCACCUUUCCACUUGCUGGCACACAGAUUUACCACAAUUAGGAUACUGCUUGUCCUGUCAUGCCGGGAGAGUCUAAAUUACUCUGACUUUCAAGAAACCAAAAAUAUGCAUUUUUGAUGUUAGGAAGAUUUACUGUGCAUUGGGCUGUGUCAUUUGAUGAGGAAAAAACCAAAUGAUCUCUUUAUGAAAAUGAAGGUAAAAUAUAUGUAAAUGCCAUUUUAAUCUAACUUUUUAUAUGAAUGUAGAACAAAUAUCAAACAGGAUUAUACAGUGUGAUAGUCAGGAAAGUAGCAUGCUUUUGUGUUUUAUAGACUAGUCUAAAAGGAGCCCCAGUAGACUUGGUAUUGUUAAACCAAGGAGAUCUUGAGAACUGUUCUGUCUCCCUUGUGCCCAUAGAAUUGUAGCCUGUGGAGGUGACCAAGGAACCAGAUCCCAAGAGGCCUCUGCCACUGAAAGGAGAUUUUUAUUACUUGCGUUUCCUAGACGGGGGGGCACUCGCGCCAAGCAGGCCCACGGGGCACACUGGUGUCAGUCAAGGGGCAGAAAGGAGCCACAGGAAAGCCCAGGACAGAGCCUGAGUGGGGUUUCUGUGGGAAAGGCAGGGCAGGGCACCCGUGUAGGAAUGGCUAGUGUGAACAGUUCCAGUGGGCCCUGGGCUGUAGGAGAGAUCACUAGCUGCCUGCUACCAGGCCCUGGGGUGAUUUCGGGCAGGCGGGCAGUUAGAUAAGGGAGGUGGGUAGAGCCGACCACCUGCCUGGAACCCUGUGCUGGCUAUAAGCCCUGGGAGGGCCAGUCUCUCCCUGUGUCUGUAAGGCCCACAAAUGCCAAAGCAUUAGGAAUAAGAAAAUGGACGUAAUAGAAUUGAUCCUGUGAGGACUGGAUGCCUAACUGCCACAUACAGAAUGUGAGAAAGCACAGAACAACUGCCUUCAUUGACAAGAUGGUGCCCAGAGCUCAAGACAGGCACACAGCAGGAGGAUGCCGGCAGGAUCCCUCAACAAGCUUACCGUGGUAUCUUUCACAAUGUUAACUGUCAUCCCAGAUGAACUUUUAAUGACAGUGUAUCUCUGAAGAUUGUGCUUUUAGCGUAUUUUCACUUAAAGUCAUAUCUCAUUUAGUAGACCUGCCAGAUUCCUGAAAAGUUACACACAAGCCAGCUGACAUGACCUUUGCCAGUCAUGUUGACCACGUUCUCACCGAGCUGUGGACUCCUCACUAGGAGCCUUUACCUACGGCCAGAUGGCUGUUGUCACUGCCUGUGGUGGGGUUACGGUUUCGGACUCACCUGAUCCGUUCUGCCGGGAUUACCUACGGCCAGAUGGCUGUUGUCACUGCCUGUGGUGGGGUUAUGGUUUCGGACUUACCUGAUCCGUUCUGCCGGGAUUACCUACGGCCAGAUGGCUGUUGUCACUGCCUGUGGUGGGGUUAUGGUUUCGGACGCACCUGAUCCGUUCUGCCGGGAUUUUAAAGUAUGGGAGUUUAGGCAUACUUUGCAAGUUGUUUCUUGAAUAUACUUUUCUGAAUUAUGGCUUGCUAUACAAGUUUUGGUCUUUUAAGGUAAGAGUUACAAUGGAGAUGGGGAAAUUAUACUUUUCUCAUUUCAAGGAAAGCAACAGUCAUGAGUUAUGCAUCAGUUGGGAAACGGGAUGAUAGGAAGUUGCAAGGCAACCUGGUUUCAGCCGGACCGGGACUCUCCCGGGGCUGCGUCCUGCUAGAGCUGGCAGGACACAGAAUACCACUAGCAGCCUCCCUGGGAGUGGCUUGGCGUCUUGGCCACCUCUUUCCACGGAUGUGGUGGAUGUGGGGGUAAACUAGAGAGACUAAAGCCCACUAUUGGGCUCAGCUUCCUGUAGAAAUCAAAUCAGAUGAAAACCCUGACCCAGAGGGAGAAGGCAGAGAGUUGGACUUUUGAAAACGUGAGUGUGUCCAGCAACCAGGCAGCAACAGUCCUUGUUUUUAUCGAACUUCUAUAAGCACUUUAUUUCUCCAGAAUAAUUUCAUCAUAAAGAAUCCAGAGCUCAGACAGCUCUUUACCAUCUGUCUUUUCCUUUUUUCUUACCCUGUGUUUGGCUUGAUCUGGACUGCACUUAACCAUGACAAUGUUAAGUGCUUUCUUCUGGGUAAAAAUUCUGGCUUCUUCUCCAGAAAUUCUGGCUCCACUUCUCAAAUUGUUUCUGUCCCUGUUAGGAGACCCCUGGGGCCUCGGCUGGAGAGACAGUGCAGCUAGUCCCAGCAGCCACUGUGCUUGGGCCUGGCCAGCCCCUCCUCAGGGGUCACGGCACUGCUCACCUGGUGACUAGGUCUUCUCAGCCAGAUCAGUUCAUGUGCUCUGGUGUUUUUGAGCUUCUGGCUAGUCCUCAGUUUCUCAGACCUGGUUAAUCACAGUGUGGAGUCAUUUUUCAUAACUGUGCACCUCACUUGUUUGAUGCAUGGCAAGGGAAUAAUUAAAUUAAUAAACCUACAGAUAUUCCCCCUUACAGUUUUCAAAUACAGUAAGUGAAUUUCUACUAUAAAAUAGGUCCAAAGAGGUUUUAUUGUUUCUUAUUUGAAAUAAUUAAAGAACAUUUAUGUUUCCCUUUUGUGGUUUCUUGGUUCUAAUCCUGUGGGUUGCUUUUGACGUCCUCUGUUGGGGAUACACUGUGCAUCCGUAUUUAACAGGAGAUCCCGAACUCCCAGCAGGGAGCUAAGCACAGAUGUGUGCACAGAU
Molecule: long non-coding RNA, 2965 nt
Filed under: Homo sapiens (human)
Lineage: Eukaryota; Metazoa; Chordata; Mammalia; Primates; Hominidae
Description: HSALNT0274594
Source: RNAcentral